RNAcentral lists this ribosomal RNA (710 nucleotides) under uncultured anaerobic ammonium-oxidizing bacterium. RNAcentral describes it as "bacterial SSU rRNA". It matches the Rfam family "Bacterial small subunit ribosomal RNA", at positions 565 to 1274 of the family's 1533-position model. The record is from RNAcentral.
GAGCACGUAGGUGGGUUUGUAAGUCAGAGGUGAAAGCCAGCGGCUCAACCGUUGAACUGCCUCUGAUACUGCAAGUCUUGAGUCCGUUAGGGGAUGGUGGAAUUCCUGGUGUAGCGGUGAAAUGCGUAAAUAUCAGGAGGAACACCGGUGGCGAAGGCGGCCAUCUGGGACGGUACUGACGCUGAGGAACGAAAGCAUGGGUAUCAAACGGGAUUAGAUACCCCGGUAGUCCAUGCCGUAAACGAUGGGCACUAGGUGUUGGAGGACUCUACCCCUUCAGUGCCGCAGCUAACGCAUUAAGUGCCCCACCUGGGGAGUACGAUCGCAAGGUUGAAACUCAAAGGAAUUGACGGGGGCCCGCACAAGCGGUGGAGCAUGUGGUUUAAUUCGAUGCAACGCGAAGAACCUUACCUGGACUUGACAUGCAGGUGUCAGCCGUGGAAACACGGUCUCUCUUCGGAGCACCUGUGCAGGUGCUGCAUGGCUGUCGUCAGCUCGUGUCGUGAAAUGUUGGGUUAAGUCCCGCAACGAGCGCAACCCUUGUCCUUAGUUGCCAUCAGGUCAUGCUGGGAACUCUAAGGAGACUGCCGGUGACAAACCGGAGGAAGGUGGGGACUACGUCAAGUCAUCAUGGCCCUUACGUCCAGGGCUACACACGUGCUACAAUGGCCGGUACAAUGGGCUGCGAUACCGAGAGGUGAAGCGAAUCC